CAGCAGCCGCGGUAAUACGAAGGGGGCUAGCGUUGUUCGGAUUUACUGGGCGUAAAGCGCACGUAGGCGGAUCGAUCAGUCAGGGGUGAAAUCCCAGAGCUCAACUCUGGAACUGCCCUUGAUACUGUCGAUCUGGAGUAUGGAAGAGGUGAGUGGAAUUCCGAGUGUAGAGGUGAAAUUCGUAGAUAUUCGGAGGGACACCAGUGGCGAAGGCGGCUCACUGGUCCAUUACUGACGCUGAGGUGCGAAAGCGUGGGGAGCAAACAGGAUUAGAUACCCCAGUAGUCCCUGUCUCUUAUAC
This 301-nucleotide ribosomal RNA is filed under the name uncultured bacterium. RNAcentral describes it as "partial 16S ribosomal RNA". It matches the Rfam family "Bacterial small subunit ribosomal RNA", at positions 509 to 807 of the family's 1533-position model. The record is from RNAcentral.